This 398-nucleotide ribosomal RNA is filed under the name uncultured bacterium. RNAcentral's name for it is "partial 16S ribosomal RNA". It matches the Rfam family "Bacterial small subunit ribosomal RNA", at positions 523 to 918 of the family's 1533-position model. The record is from RNAcentral.
AUACGUAGGGUGCGAGCGUUGUCCGGAAUUACUGGGCGUAAAGAGCUCGUAGGUGGUUUGUCGCGACGUCUGUGAAAUUCCGGGGCUUAACUCCGGGCGUGCAGGCGAUACGGGCAUAACUUGAGUACUGUAGGGGAGACUGGAAUUCCUGGUGUAGCGGUGAAAUGCGCAGAUAUCAGGAGGAACACCGGUGGCGAAGGCGGGUCUCUGGGCAGUAACUGACGCUGAGGAGCGAAAGCAUGGGUAGCGAACAGGAUUAGAUACCCUGGUAGUCCAUGCCGUAAACGGUGGGCGCUAGGUGUAGGGGUCUUCCACGACUUCUGUGCCGUAGCUAACGCAUUAAGCGCCCCGCCUGGGGAGUACGGCCGCAAGGCUAAAACUCAAAUGAAUUGACGGGG